UGACAUCCGCACUGCCAAAAUCAAAGAUGCUGGGCUUAUUUUGGCAGACACGCUCCGGAAAUUCUUAUUUGAUCUGAAUGUUGAUGAUGGCUUAGCUGCAAUUGGUUAUUCUAAAGCAGAUAUCCCUGCUUUAGUGAAAGGCACUCUCCCUCAGGAAAGAGUGACUAAACUAUCCCCUCGUCCCCAGACCGAAGAAGAGCUAUCUGCCCUGUUUGAGGCAUCCAUGAAACUUUAUUAGUUUAAAUAUAUUGCAUGUUCUUUAAUAAUAAAAACUAACAUGGAGGUAAUUUUCCACAGACAUAGUCUAAACCAGUUCAGAUAAUGAAGGAACAUGGAACUCUGAUGCUUGUAUUUUACUAUCCACUGCCAAAAGGUCAGGUAAUUCAUGUUCAGUUCAACACUGUUUUUGUGAUUUAGGGGCUGAUUGUGUAAUCAAAGGGACUACUCAUGUAAAGGUUGUUGGCUCAGAUCUUAAGCUUUGCAAAGGACUUUCUCUUGCUUGAGAGCUGGACAAAAAAUUGAGAUAAUUUGUCCUGGAAAUUUUUUUAAAAUGUUCAGGGGAUGAAUUUUAUCUUGUAUUAUAAUUUUCUAUGACUAUUUUUGUCUUUUAAAAAAAAAACCCAAACUAUAAACUGUGUAGGAAAAACAGGCCACUCCUCCUCAGGCAAUAUUCUCAAACACAAAUUUGAACCUGCUCAAUUCAGAAGGUUCACCUUAUGAUUUUUCUACUGUCUCAUUCAAUUUGGGGCCUGAUAUAAAGAUGGUUAACAUCAUGGGUAAAAAAAUAUAUAUAACUUUUUAACAAGUCUGGAAAAGGCUUCACAAAACUUUUGUUUCACAGUAUUUAUUUUUAAAGUGGCUUGCUAGGCAUUUUUGUCUUUUCAUUCAGAAGUUAUGCGUGGGAAUAAGUUUGCUUGUUCCAACAGGCUAACUGAUUACUUGUCAACUGAAAAAGCAAACUGGCAGAAGGGGGAUAAAAUUCAAAUGUAAGUAUUAAAAUCUUUUAAAACUUUCCUGGAUUUUUCACCCUCUGUUGAGCCCCUUUGGGGUAAUGAGAUUUGCUGCCUGCGUAGAGUAGCAUAGUAUUUGCUGCCUCACACAGCAGUCUUAUACAGAGAAUAUUGGAAAACAGGAAAAUUAUUUUGAAGAGAUUUUUAAAGUUAUUUCUGUUUUGUGGAGUUUUAAAUUAACCUAUUUACUGGUUUUCACAAAAACUCUGACUUUUAGUAUUGCUAUUUUAAUCAAUAUUUUAUCAAACUUUUUAUGAAUUUUUUAUUUAUUGAAAGCCAUGUUGUCUUACUGAAAACUGGGUUUUCUGUAAAAGAAAAAUAUCAAUAAUUUUGAAAACAAUUUUGAUAAAAAUAGCAAUUAAAAAUGUUGCAGAAAGUUUUUUCACGCAAAAUAGAAAAUUUUGAUAAUGUUGACAAAUUUGUCAGAAAGUUUUCCAAAAAAGAUCAGUUUUCAAAAAUUUCUUAAGCAAAAAAUAUCAACCAUUAUAAGAUGUUUUCUCUGUACUAGACAGGGCUUUAAUGUCAGUCAUAGUCCCAGUUUGCUUCAGCAAAUUCUGGAAGUUGGCACAUGUCUAUAUCACAGAACAGAAGAGAGAAGGUUUUUUUUAAUUGAAGAUUAUUUCUAUUAGGCACAGAUUUCAUUGGCAUUGUACUGCAACACCGGCAGCAGUAUAUACAAUACUCAGACUGUAUUCAUAUAAAACAAAUUCUGAUGUCUUUUAAAUUCUGUUCAGGCACCAAUUUCAUGCAGUUGCCAUAGCACAAGCUCGGUGUAGGAAAAGCAUAACAUGCUAGUUAGUUCCUUUACUCAGUUACUUUUACUCUUUGCCUCGUUAUGAUUCUGUUCUGCAGCCGCCCCACAUGCAGCUCUUCCACUGAAGUAGAGGAAGGAUGUCUUGUACAUUUAUGACUAUUAAUCUUGGCUCAAUAAGACUGGUGCCUUCCAACCACAUGUUAGGACCUUAUGAUGUAAAUAUAUUGGAUGUGUGGUUUUUAGGUCCCUUUAGUGCUCGGCACAAGGUUGGAUGGAUAGCGAUGGAGACUGAAGGUCCUCUGUCUAUCCACUGAACGGGUAAAGCAUGGACAGUGGUUAUACAGACAGCUCUGCCAAUAUCCCUCAGCCUAUUCUGAGAAGCUAAUUCAUUUCCCCUGUCACUCCAUAUCCAUUACCUCCUUGCUCAUUCUAGUGAAAAUGCCAACAAGAGCCUCAAUUGUGAAAGCUGGUUUCACAAUGUGUGGAUUUUCUUUUCUAUAUUACAAAGACUCACCCUGCACUUUACCUUUUUGUUGCAUCUUUUAUAUAUAAUUUCUGUUCUCCCUCUCUGUGAAGUUUCAUCUUUGUGCAAUAGAAAUGGUACAGUGCACUGAGGAGACAAUUUUUGUGGGAAUCUAUCUUCUAGCCAGACACUUUGGAAUUGGAGGGGAUGUAGCUUCUUCCAAUUGAACAGCGGAUGAGUUUCUUAGGUAUGUUAUUUCUCCUGAGUGUUUUGAUGGGUAAGAAGGAAAGUGGGUCUUUCAUUCUAUCAUGGUUCUUAUUUACCAAUAAUAUUGGUAUGUGAGUAAUUAGUAGAAUGGUUUCACUACUAAUAGUACUUUACACUUACAUAUAACCUCUUUAAUUGAAGGAAAUCAAAGCAAUUUACUAACAUUCAUGAAUUAAGCCUCACAACACCCUGUGAGGUAAGCUAGUAUUAUUACCCCUAUUGUAUAGAUGAGGAGACUGAGGAACAGAGCAAUUAAGUGACUUGUCUAAGGUCACACAGGAAGCUUGUGGCAGAGUCAGAAAUAGAACCCAAGUCUCCUGACACCUAGUCUUACGCAUAUCCAUAAGACCAUCCUUCUACUACUAAUUAUUAGCCAGUGCUGAAAACUAUGUGAGAAGAAUCAAGAGAUGAAUCCAUCCCAUUCAAAUAAUAACAGUUUGACAGUGCUCGUGGUGUUAAAUCCAGAACAGGAUCCAGGAUACGAGUACAGUUUAUUGGCAGUUUUAUUUGCCACUGAGUUAGAGGUUUUUAAUGUAAUAAAAUAUACUAUUCCGUACCUGAAGGUCCACAUUUUCAAACGUGUGCACAUAUCUUUGUGCAGGUCCAGUUUGCACUCAUGAAUAUGGGACUUGUGCAUGUGUGGUUACAACUCGUGAACACCCAUUGGUUGGGCACGUGUAGAAAAUCUGAGCCACUUGUUCUUUAUCUGAUUUAUAAAAAUGUUAAUGCCUCAAACUCUAAAGCCUUCCAUAAUGUAUCUUGUAUAGUUUGAAUGGUGCCUUUGGGAGCUAUUGCAAUACAAAUAAGUAAUGAUGCAUUUCCUACAAAUAUAAGCAUGUGAAAAUGUUUGAGAACUGUUUUAACUGUGAUGUUAACUUGAAUCUUGAAAUGUACCUGUGAAUCCAAACCAUUCAGAGGAAAUAAGCUUUCAUUAGCUUCGCUGGGUAGUAUGAUUAUUCCUGAUUAGAUGCUUACUCAAUGAGCUUGACAGUAUGUUGACAAACCAUUGCAUUGUGAAUAAUUGAAAAGAAUGUCCAAUUUCCAAAAAUAAAGAGCAUCCUAUCUACUGUA
Long non-coding RNA from Trachemys scripta elegans, 3565 nucleotides. RefSeq lists it as uncharacterized. The record is from RefSeq and is a predicted model, not a curated record. Lineage: Eukaryota; Metazoa; Chordata; Testudines; Emydidae. The transcript is spliced from 2 exons.